GGACUACCAGGGUAUCUAAUCCUGUUUGCUCCCCACGCUUUCGAGCCUCAACGUCAGUUAUCGUCCAGUAAGCCGCCUUCGCCACUGGUGUUCCUCCUAAUAUCUACGCAUUUCACCGCUACACUAGGAAUUCCACUUACCUCUCCGACACUCUAGCAAAACAGUUUCCAAAGCAGUCCCAGGGUUGAGCCCUGGGUUUUCACUUCAGACUUGCUUCGCCGUCUACGCUCCCUUUACACCCAGUAAAUCCGGAUAACGCUUGCCCCAUACGUAUUACCGCGGCUGCUGGCACGUAUUUAGCCGGAGCUUCUUAGUCAGGUACCGUCACUAUCUUCCCUGCUGAUAGAGCUUUACAUAACGAAUUACUUCUUCACUCACGCGGCGUCGCUGCAUCAGAGUU
RNAcentral lists this unclassified non-coding RNA (400 nucleotides) under uncultured fungus. RNAcentral describes it as "sequence contains ITS1". Lineage: Eukaryota; Fungi. The record is from RNAcentral.